GACGAACCGUGCGAACGUUGUUCGGAAUUACUGGGCGUAAAGCGUGCGCAGGCGGCUAUGCAAGACAGAUGUGAAAUCCCCGGGCUCAACCUGGGAACUGCAUUUGUGACUGCAUGGCUAGAGUACGGUAGAGGGGGAUGGAAUUCCGCGUGUAGCAGUGAAAUGCGUAGAUAUGCGGAGGAACACCGAUGGCGAAGGCAAUCCCCUGGACCUGUACUGACGCUCAUGCACGAAAGCGUGGGGAGCAAACAGG
Molecule: ribosomal RNA, 253 nt
Filed under: uncultured bacterium
Lineage: Bacteria
Description: partial 16S ribosomal RNA
Rfam family: Bacterial small subunit ribosomal RNA
Source: RNAcentral